RNAcentral lists this ribosomal RNA (816 nucleotides) under uncultured bacterium. RNAcentral describes it as "bacterial SSU rRNA". It matches the Rfam family "Bacterial small subunit ribosomal RNA", at positions 8 to 796 of the family's 1533-position model. The record is from RNAcentral.
AGAGUUUGAUCAUGGCUCAGAAUGAACGCUGGCGGCGUGCUUAACACAUGCAAGUCGCACGAGAACGCUUCAGCUUGCUGAAGCUAGUAAAGUGGCGUACGGGUGAGUAACGCGUGGGUAAUCAACCUCUGAAUUGGGGAUAACAUUGCGAAAGCGAUGCUAAUACCGGAUAAUAUCCAUUGAACCUUGGUUUUUUGGAUCAAAGGUGGCCUCUACAUGUAAGCUACUGUUUGGAGACGAGCCCGCGUACCAUUAGCUUGUUGGUAGGGUAAUGGCCUACCAAGGCAACGAUGGUUAGCUGGUCUGAGAGGAUGAUCAGCCACACUGGAACUGACACACGGUCCAGACUCCUACGGGAGGCAGCAGUGAGGAAUUUUGCGCAAUGGGGGAAACCCUGACGCAGCAACGCCGCGUGAGUGAUGAAGGCUUUCGGGUCGUAAAGCUCUGUCAAGUGGGAAGAACCCGUGCCGCACAAAUAGUGCGGUGCGCUGACGGUACCACUGAAGGAAGCACCGGCUAACUCCGUGCCAGCAGCCGCGGUAAUACGGGGGGUGCAAGCGUUAUUCGGAAUCAUUGGGCGUAAAGAGCGCGUAGGCGGUCUUCUAUGUCAGGUGUGAAAGCCCUGGGCUCAACCCGGGAAGUGCACUUGAAACUGGGAGACUUGAGUAUGGGAGAGGGAAGUGGAAUUCCUGGUGUAGCGGUGAAAUGCGUAGAUAUCAGGAGGAACACCGGUGGCGAAGGCGACUUCCUGGACCAAUACUGACGCUGAGGCGCGAGGGCGUGGGGAGCAAACAGGAUUAGAUACCCUAGUAGUCC